This 913-nucleotide ribosomal RNA is filed under the name uncultured archaeon. RNAcentral describes it as "partial 16S ribosomal RNA". It matches the Rfam family "Archaeal small subunit ribosomal RNA", at positions 4 to 922 of the family's 1478-position model. The record is from RNAcentral.
CCGGUUGAUCCUGCCAGAGGCUACUGCUAUCGGGGUCCGACUAAGCCAUGCGAGUUGAGAGGGGUAAGCCCUCGGCAUAUUGCUCAGUAACACGCGGAUAACCUGCCCUUGGGUUUGGGAUAACCCCGGGAAACUGGGACUAAUACCGGAUAGAUCAUAGAAACUGGAAUGUUCUUUGAUCGAAAGCUCCGGCGCCCAAGGAUGGGUCUGCGGCCUAUCAGGUAGUAGUGGGUGUAACGUACCUACUAGCCUACGACGGGUAAGGGUUGUGAGAGCAAGAGCCCUGAGAUGGAUUCUGAGACAUGAAUCCAGGCCCUACGGGGUGCAGCAGGCGCGAAAACUUUACACUGCGGGAAACCGCGAUAAGGGGACCCCGAGUGCCAGCACCUAGUGCUGGCUGUCCAGCUGUCCAAAUAACAGUUGUUAGCAAGGGCCGGGCAAGACCGGUGCCAGCCGCCGCGGUAAUACCCGCAGCACAAGUGGUGGUCAUUAUUAUUGGGCCUAAAGCGUCCGUAGCAGGCUUGUUAGAUGCCUGGGUAAAUCGAUGCGCUCAACGCAUCGACUUCCGGGUAGACCGGCAAGCUCGAGACCGGGAGAGGCGUGGGCUACUCGAGGGGUAGGGGUAAAAUCCUGUAAUCCUUCGGGGAGGACCAGUGGCGAAGGCGCCACGCUAGAACGGCUCUGACUGUGAGGGACGAAGCCCUGGGGCGCAAACCGGAUUAGAUACCCGGGUAGUCCAGGGUGUAAACGCUGCAGACUUGGUGUCGCUGGUCCUACGAGGGCUGGCGGUGCCGGAGAGAAGUUGUUGAGUCUGCCGCCUGGGGAGUACGGUCGCAAGACUGAAACUUAAAGGAAUUGGCGGGGGAGCACCGCAACGCGUGGAGUGUGCGGUUUAAUUGGAUUCAACGCCGGG